AAAAACAAAAACAAAAACUGGAAGAUAUAUCAACCCUAGCUGAUCACAUUCUCUAAAUCCUCUAACAGGCAUCUCUAUGUUUCUGCCAACAAGAAGCCUCAGCCAAACGAAUAAUUACUGUAAUUUUAAAGCAAUGUCAAACACAGGUAUAAUAACAUCUCAAGCUAAACCUCAGCAACUUCUACAAGUUGUUUCUGUUCUAUAAUAACAUAAUCAUCGGUUUGUCAUGGAACAAUCAACUGUGUGAAUAUACAACAUAAAGAUGUUGUCCAAGUCCCAGAAUUUGCGAAAUACCAGUUUUACCAGGAUGAUUGUGGCUGCCAAUGCUCUGUGAACAGGGAUAAAAGGGAAACUCAGGCAUGGUACUGAACAAUAAUGGCCUCAAACAAUGUCAAGCAGAGGAUCAUGAUUCUUCAAGGAUAGCACGUCCAAGAUUUGUGGCAAGAGCUAGU
Molecule: unclassified non-coding RNA, 452 nt
Filed under: Hevea brasiliensis (rubber tree)
Lineage: Eukaryota; Viridiplantae; Streptophyta; Magnoliopsida; Malpighiales; Euphorbiaceae
Source: RNAcentral